GCGAGGAUGGCGGAAUUGGUAGACGCGUCAGUUUGAGGGGCUGGUCCCGGUUUACGGGGUGGGGGUUCGACCCCCCCUCCUCGCA
Molecule: transfer RNA, 85 nt
Filed under: Bradymonadales bacterium
Lineage: Bacteria; Deltaproteobacteria; Bradymonadales
Description: tRNA-Leu
Rfam family: tRNA
About the family: Transfer RNA (tRNA) molecules are approximately 80 nucleotides in length. Their secondary structure includes four short double-helical elements and three loops (D, anti-codon, and T loops).
Source: RNAcentral